CAAAGGUUUGGUCCUAACUUUACUGUCAACUAUAACUAAAUUUAUACAUGCAAGUAUCCGCACCCCCGUGAGAAUGCCCUUUCAUUUCUUUUGAUAACAAGGAGCUGGUAUCAGGCACACUACUGUAGCCCACUACACCUUGCUCAGCCACACCCUCAAGGGUACUCAGCAGUGAUUAAUUUUGAAUCAUAAGUGAAAACUUGAAUCAGUUAAAGCUAUAAAGGGUCGGUAAAACUCGUGCCAGCCACCGCGGUUAUACGAGAGACCCAAGCUGACAGAAACCGGCGUAAAGAGUGGUUAGAAAAACAAGACACUAAAGCUGAACACUUUUUUAGCCGUUUAACGCUUAUGAAAACCAGAAACCCUAUUACGAAAGUAGCUUUAACCCCUUGAAUCCACGAAAGCUAUGAAACAAACUGGGAUUAGAUACCCCACUAUGCUUAGCCGUAAACAAUGAUAACUAAUUACACCCACCAUCCGCCCGGGUACUACGAGCAUAAGCUUAAAACCCAAAAGACCUGGCGGUGCUUUAAAACCCCCUAGAGGAGCCUGUUCUAUAACUGAUAACCCCCGUUCAACCUCACCCUCUCUUGCCAUUUACCGUUUAUAUACCGCCGUCGUCAGCCCACCCUGUGAAGGACUUAUAAUGAGCAUAACUGAUAUAACCUCAUACGUCAGGUCGAGGUGUAACAUAUGAGAGGGGAAGAAAUGGGCUACAUUCGUUUAUUAACGAACCACGAAAUGCAUGCUGAAAUCACAUGUUCGAAGGAGGAUUUAGCAGUAAGGAGAGGAUAGAGUACCCUCCUGAAACCGGCUCUAAAGCACGCACACACCGCCCGUCACUCUCCCCUUUUCAAUACUACUGAUAAAUAAGAAAUACCCGAAAAUUUAGGGGAGACAAGUCGUAACAUGGUAAGUGUACCGGAAGGUGCACUUGGAUUAAU
Molecule: non-coding RNA, 944 nt
Filed under: Entelurus aequoreus (snake pipefish)
Lineage: Eukaryota; Metazoa; Chordata; Actinopteri; Syngnathiformes; Syngnathidae
Description: 12S ribosomal RNA
Rfam family: Bacterial small subunit ribosomal RNA
Source: RNAcentral